AAGGUGGCUUUUGGGCUGUCGCAGAUGGAUGAGCCUGCGUUGGAUUAGCUAGUUGGUGGGGUAAGGGCCUACCAAGGCUACGAUCCAUAGCUGAUUUGAGAGGAUGAUCAGCCACAUUGGGACUGAGACACGGCCCAAACUCCUACGGGAGGCAGCAGUGAGGAAUAUUGGACAAUGGGGGCAACCCUGAUCCAGCAAUGCCAUGUGUGUGAAGAAGGCCUUAGGGUUGUAAAGCACUUUAGUUGGGGAAGAAAGCUUUGAGGUUAAUAGCCUUGAGGAAAAGGACGUUACCCAAAGAAUAAGCACCGGCUAACUCCGUGCCAGCAGCCGCGGUAAUACGGGGGGUGCAAGCGUUAAUCGGAAUUACUGGGCGUAAAGGGUCUGUAGGUGGUUUGUUAAGUCAGAUGUGAAAGCCUAGGGCUCAACCUUGGAACUGCAUUUGAUACUGGUAAACUAGAGUACGGUAGAGGAAUGGGGAAUUUCUGGUGUAGCGGUGAAAUGCGUAGAGAUCAGAAGGAACACCAAUGGCGAAGGCAACAUUCUGGACCGAUACUGACACUGAGGGACGAAAGCGUGGGGAUCAAACAGGAUUAGAUACCCUGGUAGUCCACGCUGUAAACGAUGAGUACUAGCUGUUGGAGUCGGUGUAAAGGCUCUAGUGGCGCAGCUAACGCGAUAAGUACUCCGCCUGGGGACUACGGCCGCAAGGCUAAAACUCAAAGGAAUUGACGGGGACCCGCACAAGCGGUGGAGCAUGUAGUUUAAUUCGAUGCAACGCGAAGAACCUUACCUGGUCUUGACAUCCUGCGAUCUUUCUAGAGAUAGAUUGGUGCCUUCGGGAACGCAGUGACAGGUGCUGCACGGCUGUCGUCAGCUCGUGUUGUGAAAUGUUGGGUUAAGUCCCGCAACGAGCGCAACCCCUAU
RNAcentral lists this ribosomal RNA (924 nucleotides) under Francisella endosymbiont of Dermacentor andersoni. Its description in RNAcentral is "bacterial SSU rRNA". It matches the Rfam family "Bacterial small subunit ribosomal RNA", at positions 202 to 1108 of the family's 1533-position model. The record is from RNAcentral. Lineage: Bacteria; Pseudomonadati; Pseudomonadota; Gammaproteobacteria; Thiotrichales; Francisellaceae.